GAUGAAGAACGUAGCGAAAUGCGAUAAGUAAUGCGAAUUGCAGAAUUCCGUGAGUCAUCGAAUCUUUGAACGCACAUUGCGUCCUCUGGUAUUCCGGAGGGCAUGCCUGUCUGAGCGUCAUUGUCAACCCUCAAGCUCAGCUUGCUGUUGGGUCCCCGUCGUUGCUUUAACGGCGGACCCGAAAGGUAAUGGCAGAGUCCGUGAGACCCUAGACGCAGCGAGCUUCUAGCACGCGUCUGGACGUUUUUCGGGCUCGGUCUUAACUAGAUGAUAACUUCCGAUUGACCUCAGAUCAGGUAGGGAUACCCGCUGAACUUAAGCAUAUCAAUAAGCGGAGGA
RNAcentral lists this unclassified non-coding RNA (339 nucleotides) under soil metagenome. RNAcentral's name for it is "partial contains 5.8S ribosomal RNA, internal transcribed spacer 2, and large subunit ribosomal RNA". The stretch from base 1 to 120 matches the Rfam family "5.8S ribosomal RNA", at positions 35 to 154 of the family's 154-position model. The record is from RNAcentral.